CAUCACACUUGCAGCACCGAGCGACCUGGGGACCUUGCCAUUUCCACAUGUAUCUACCUGACUUCUUGCUCUGAACCAUGUCACAACAAACAGAGCCGUAUCCAGGGAAGGGAGGUGUUUCUCCGUAGUACAGUAGGACAUGGGGUUGAAAUGUGAACUCUACGAAUAACCUAAAGAGCCUUAGGUUGAAGAAACCCCCUCUGCUGGUGCUUCAUGCUGGAUUAAAGUCAGUGCUCCUUUACACACAGAUAUUCAGUGGCUUUUGUCUUCCUAGCGUCAGCAGUAACGUCAGAGGAUUGUAUCCAAGGAGCUAAAUGUGCAGGACCCAGGGUCAGAGCAGCUGAAUACACCAACCUCAGAAAACACAGACAAUGAAUUGCAAAUGACACUCAAAACAAAACGAGGAAAAAAAACCUUCACACAGAAAACUACAAAAGAACUCUACAGACACUGAAUUGGCUUUCUGUACACACUGAUCCUGCUUAACUGUGUGUGGUAACUAGCUGAACGUUUCAGAUACUCAUGGCUACAAAAUAAAGGCUUUUUUCUUUUUC
Molecule: long non-coding RNA, 554 nt
Organism: Phacochoerus africanus (Common warthog)
Lineage: Eukaryota; Metazoa; Chordata; Mammalia; Artiodactyla; Suidae
Exons: 2
Source: RefSeq, a predicted model, not a curated record